This 70-nucleotide transfer RNA is filed under the name Roseateles saccharophilus. RNAcentral's name for it is "tRNA-Thr". It matches the Rfam family "tRNA". Rfam says of the family: Transfer RNA (tRNA) molecules are approximately 80 nucleotides in length. The record is from RNAcentral. Lineage: Bacteria; Pseudomonadati; Pseudomonadota; Betaproteobacteria; Burkholderiales; Sphaerotilaceae.
AAUUGGAUAGCUCAAUCGGUAGAGCAACGAACUCGUAAUUCGUGUGUCGUGGGUUCGACUCCCACUCCAA